UUAGGGGCCGGCGGGAUCAUGUGAGGGGGCGGUUUUGGCCGCUUCCCCCGGGCGGGGGGGGGGGGAGCUCGCCUCCUGCUGCAGCCCAGGCUCGAUGCCGCCAGAGCCGGGUUCGUUCUCCCGGCGGCCCGGACCGCGGGCUGCCUGCCCUGGCCCGAGCGGGAGGCGCACCACGCCGGGGUGCUGCUGGCAGCCUCAGCUAGUCCCAUUGGGUCGUGCCAGAGUUCCCACGCGGGGUGAUGCCAAUACCAAGUUUGUGGGGGAAGACGACUUCCAUACCCAUCAGAUGAAUUAUUCAGCAAGAGUCACAGUGAGACCAAGCACACAGGCCCCUGCUUCAGAGCCUGCAACCCAAACUUGUUUCCAUCCCUUUGUCUGAUGACCUUUCAACAUUGAAGUCAGAUCUGUUUUCACAACUUAGACAGACACCAGGAUUCUGUUAAUUACACACUCAGGAGAGAAUAGCUUGUUGUCGCCUAUGGAUGUAGGCAGCUGUGAACUGAUAAACAAAACCCAUGGCAGGAAUCUUAGCAGGAAUAUUGCUACCUAAAAAAUAUGACUGUGCUUCAUUAAUGAACUGAGCCCUUUUUUAGAUAAAAAGCUACAGCUUUUGAUGAUGACUAGUGGAGCUAUUCCCUAUAGGUCAAUGCAGUGCCUGGCAUACAUGUCUGAACUUGCCCGACAGCCUUUCUGGACAUAAAGGUCAUUCAUCCUCAAGGCAGAAACAACCAGUAGCACUGCCUCCCAGAACAACCCGAAGCACACACAGGCACACUGGUGCCUGCGUAAUGUUUGACUGAAGGAUUGAAGGAGGAUUUCAAGCAUGAGUACAAGAAUUUUCUUCUGACUCUAUGACUAGUGUAUGUCACAGUACAUAGUGGAGUAGCAGCAACACCAUCUGUCCAUGUGGUGAUAUUCCUAGGGCCUGAUUAACUGCAGUGCCAAUAAACAUCCUUGGGAAAAGGGACCAGAGCACACUAUGGAUCUUCGCAUGCCCAUGUGGGGGAUGUGACUCUCAAUAAGGCUCUAAUGCAGAGAUGCUUUUAGAAAAGUGAGAUAAGUACCAUUUGUUUUAUGGCACUGUAAACUCUGAGGGGAAUCCUACCACUGGGAGGGCCUGGGACAUGAUCUUGUACAUUACUACUACUCAAGAUACUACAAGAGGGAUGUUGUCACAGUUAUUUCAGCUGAAGAAAAGAGAUGAACUAUGGCUUUUGUUUAAGAAAAACCUGUACAGAAAUGGCAGCAAAUAACAUUAUUCAGUAAUUACCCAUUAGUCAAGAAGAAUAUGUGUUUGUAAAUAUGACCUCUGUAAUAUUAUCAGGGUCAGACAGACCAAGGGCAAUCGGCUGUGUAAGUGUAUAAAUCAAAGCUGUCUAGGGAUUGAUGAUUUAAUUUACAAUGUUCUUCAACAUUCUGGACAAAACAAAUGUCACUCGCUUGCUUAAGUCCUGUGCUCCUCCCCUUUUUCCACUUUCUCCCUCCCUCCAUUUUUGAUAACACUUCUUGACCUUCUACUUCUUGAAAGCCAUGGAUUUCCACCAAGAGACAGCCAGUUAGGCCAACUUGUUUGAAUUAUCCUAACACCCCAACAAGUAAGAUUACAAUAGAGCCGUGACUGUAUUCACUUGCUGGUUACCUGGCUUUCUUAGCACAGUUCAAGAGUAAAGCAAUAAGUACUGGAAUGUAUGUAGUUCUUUUAUAUUAAGUACCUAAAUCUGCGAAAAGCAUCUGUUGAAACUGUUAGAUUCUGGGCACUGAUUCUGCUAAAUCACAUGUUUCCCAUUGUGGAAGGAAAAGAGCUUUUGCAAUAACAUGUAGAAUACAUGGAAUAAGUCUUCUCUUUCUUUCUGUGCUCUUUGGCAGUUUGACUGGCUGAGUCAAAGCAAGUUCUGUUCCUUUAUCUUUUUUUCAAAAUAUGCCAUAAUCUCCAAACUGAAACCGAGUAGGAUUUGAAUAAAAUGUUCUCAUUCAAGUAAUAAUUGAAUUAAUAAUCACACUCUAAGCAACAGAUUGUGAUCCUGAAGCCUGGUUUUUUAAAAUUGUCCAUUGGUGCCUUUUAUUUCUAGCGACCAUUUUGUGACUUUUCUGCAGGUGUGGCCACUGAGCUGCCUCAGGGCAAGGCCAAACCUGCCAAACAAAAGAAACUUCAUGUUGUGGAUGUUAACUUUAGUUACCAUAGCCAGACAAUGCUGCCAGUGGUAUGGAAGACAAAAUUGCUGUAGCCAGCUGUGCUGUUCACAGUCGGAUGGUUUCUGUGUAGCUCCAAAUGGUUAUGAAGCCAGUAGCCUGUUGUGGCCAAGGACAGAAUGAUGGAUGAUCUACACACAGUGCCCAAGUUGAAAGAAUGGCAGAAGUUCACUUCAGGGUUGUUAAAAUGCUAAUCUAGGUUAGUUAACAAAAGCCUAAUGGAACAGAAAAGUUAGGGGAAAUAAACACACCUCAUAUGUUACAUAUGUACACUCCAGAUUUGAUCUCUCUAGUUAGACAAACAUUUGCCUUUGGAAGUUAGACAAUUUAACAGUUUUCUUGUUUGAAUAAACUGAAUCAACUUUUGUUAUUAGCUGUACUAUAAUUACUGUCAAGGCAUGACAAGGGAAAGUGGACUAAGGCAGACAAUACACACAGCUACUGAAAACAGCAUCAUAAGGCUAGCAAUAUGACUUUCACUGAACAUUUCUUUCAUGUGACAUGAGAACUUGAACUUGAAGCUGGCAGCUAUUCACAGAACAAGUAACAACUUAAUAAAAUGGCUUAGACGGAUUUUAACUGUAACGGCAGCAAGCUUAUCUGAUGCAUAAAAAGAGAUAAUCCGUUCUAACAGCAGUUUUGAUUAGAUCAACAUUUGCACCAUUUUAAUUACGUAUAGGACUGCUUGUAUUACCCAAUGCAAAUAUUAUGCCUUCCAUCUUUUCCUUAACUGUUCCUGGGACAAAUUUUUAAUUUCUCCAAUAGCAGGAUAUAUGUUUACAUUUCUUACUGGAAUUAUAGUAUGUGAUCACCUUCUUAUUUUCUUAUUUAGUUGCUAAGCAAGAAAUAGGGCAGCCUCCCUCCAUCUCCUGUAUUUAUUAAUCAAAGCAAAAAAACAAAAAUGUUUGUUGGAAAAUAUUA
Long non-coding RNA from Mauremys reevesii (Reeves's turtle), 3111 nucleotides. RefSeq lists it as uncharacterized. The record is from RefSeq and is a predicted model, not a curated record. Lineage: Eukaryota; Metazoa; Chordata; Testudines; Geoemydidae. The transcript has 4 exons.